UUACCAGCCAGGCUCCUGGCUAAUUCCAGCUUUUAGCUGGAAUUAUCCAGAAUUAUCCAAAGCCUGGCUGGAAA
This is a microRNA precursor of Neotoma lepida (desert woodrat), 74 nucleotides long. It matches the Rfam family "mir-344 microRNA precursor family". Lineage: Eukaryota; Metazoa; Chordata; Mammalia; Rodentia; Cricetidae. The record is from Rfam.